Molecule: long non-coding RNA, 828 nt
Organism: Zalophus californianus (California sea lion)
Lineage: Eukaryota; Metazoa; Chordata; Mammalia; Carnivora; Otariidae
Exons: 5
Source: RefSeq, a predicted model, not a curated record
GGGCUGGUGAACACAUGGAGGUGCUGGGACGGAGGGUCACCCUGAGACGGAGGCUGUGUUGCUCCUGGUUUUAUUUUCCAGCAGUAAAAGAACUAUCGUGCUUUGAAGAUAAUAAGCCCUGUGACCUCAGGCAGAUGCAGUGAUGUUCACAGAAGUCUGGGCCCAGCUGCAAAAAUAACCUCAAAUUCCUAUCUCAGAGCUCUGAGAUACCUUUUGGUAUUCCAAAAACAGAUGCUCCAGUACCGGUGGCAUAAAAUACCCUCCAAACCGACAGCCAGAUGGGAAAAGAGGCAACGUCUGAGAAUCCAAGUCAAGUUGAUGGUCAGUCCUCCAGGGAUAACAGGAGAACAAAGGCUCAGCUAGGACCAGUGACCAGCUAUAGCCCAAUGGGCCUCGCCUUCCAGGAAAGAAGACGAGACACACAGAGAGGAGACAGGAAAUAAUUAUUCCAAGAGAUGAAAGAUGAAGCCAGAGGGAAUAUUAGUACAUACAGAGUGACACCAAGGAGAAGGUGUCAUCAGCCAUCUGCAAACCGAGGACAGAAGUCUCAGAGGAAACCAACACGCCCAGCACCUUGAUCCUGAACUUCCAGCCUCCAGAACUACAUCCAGUCAACAAAAACACUAAAUCAAGCCCCAAUCUGGAGUGAUUGCCAACUUCCGUGGCGAAUAUACUUCAGCCACGGCUGGCCUCCAGCUCCCAGCCUGACGGUCCUGAACCUGGGGCUGGCAGACGAUGUGCCCAGCAGCAUGUUCCACCCUUUCUACCAUACGGGCGCAGCCGACACGAGUGACUUCAAGAGUAAUGAGUAGUAAAAGAACAAGGAAG